UACGGAGGGGGCUAGCGUUGUUCGGAAUUACUGGGCGUAAAGCGCACGUAGGCGGCUUUGUAAGUUAGAGGUGAAAGCCCGGGGCUCAACUCCGGAACUGCCUUUAAGACUGCAUCGCUUGAAUCCAGGAGAGGUGAGUGGAAUUCCGAGUGUAGAGGUGAAAUUCGUAGAUAUUCGGAGGAACACCAGAAGCGAAGGCGGCUCACUGGCCCGAGACUGACGCUGAGGCGCGAAAGCGUGGGGAGCAAACAGG
RNAcentral lists this ribosomal RNA (253 nucleotides) under uncultured bacterium. RNAcentral's name for it is "partial 16S ribosomal RNA". It matches the Rfam family "Bacterial small subunit ribosomal RNA", at positions 524 to 776 of the family's 1533-position model. The record is from RNAcentral.